RNAcentral lists this ribosomal RNA (910 nucleotides) under uncultured bacterium. Its description in RNAcentral is "bacterial SSU rRNA". It matches the Rfam family "Bacterial small subunit ribosomal RNA", at positions 1 to 910 of the family's 1533-position model. The record is from RNAcentral.
UGAUCCAGACUUUGAUUAUGGCUCAGGAUGAACGCUGGCGGCGUGCUUAACACAUGCAAGUCGAACGAAGCAUUUAGGACAGAUUACUUCGGUUUGAAGUUCUUUAUGACUGAGUGGCGGACGGGUGAGUAACGCGUGGGUAACCUGCCUUGUACUGGGGGAUAGCAGCUGGAAACGGCUGGUAAUACCGCAUAAGCGCACAAUGUUGCAUGACAUGGUGUGAAAAACUCCGGUGGUACAAGAUGGACCCGCGUCUGAUUAGCUAGUUGGUGAGAUAACAGCCCACCAAGGCGACGAUCAGUAGCCGACCUGAGAGGGUGACCGGCCACAUUGGGACUGAGACACGGCCCAGACUCCUACGGGAGGCAGCAGUGGGGAAUAUUGCACAAUGGAGGAAACUCUGAUGCAGCGACGCCGCGUGAGUGAAGAAGUAAUUCGUUAUGUAAAGCUCUAUCAGCAGGGAAGAUAGUGACGGUACCUGACUAAGAAGCUCCGGCUAAAUACGUGCCAGCAGCCGCGGUAAUACGUAUGGAGCAAGCGUUAUCCGGAUUUACUGGGUGUAAAGGGAGUGUAGGUGGCCAUGCAAGUCAGAAGUGAAAAUCCGGGGCUCAACCCCGGAACUGCUUUUGAAACUGUGAGGCUAGAGUGCAGGAGGGGUGAGUGGAAUUCCUAGUGUAGCGGUGAAAUGCGUAGAUAUUAGGAGGAACACCAGUGGCGAAGGCGGCUCACUGGACUGUAACUGACACUGAGGCUCGAAAGCGUGGGGAGCAAACAGGAUUAGAUACCCUGGUAGUUCACGCCGUAAACGAGAAUACUAGGUGUCGGGGCCCAUAAGGGCUUCGGUGCCGCAGCAAACGCAAUAAGUAUUCCACCUGGGGAGUACGUUCGCAAGAAUGCAACUCAAAUGAAU